This is a long non-coding RNA of Condylura cristata (star-nosed mole), 1600 nucleotides long. RefSeq lists it as uncharacterized. The record is from RefSeq and is a predicted model, not a curated record. Lineage: Eukaryota; Metazoa; Chordata; Mammalia; Eulipotyphla; Talpidae. The transcript has 4 exons.
GAGGCUUGGCUGCCGCCUCUCCGGCUGAAUGACCUUGGCCGCUUCCUUGCACUCCUUGGCCCCCGGCUUCAAGGAUUGAGCACCUGUUUACAGGGUCUUUACUCUGGCUCGAGCUGCCCCGGCGCAGCGGAGCGCAGAGCCGGCCGGCCGCGGGUUUGGGGGGGCGUGUGCCCAAAUCCCUAGGCACGUGGGAUCGUGUGUGGGGAGUGGCCUCAGAGUCCUCGGGGAUGAGCUGAAGGUUGUUGAGGGGUUGUGAUAGGUCGGGUUCCACGGUUCGCACUGGGAUCACAGUCCUGUGGGACCAGAUGGUGUGAGACGCGUCCAGCACGGAUUAGGCGAUGAUCUGGCACCUGGUCUGAGUGCUGGAGGAAGCCCAAGCCCUGUCUUAGACAAGAAAACUGAGGCUGGAAUUGAGAGCCCUUUCACUCGCGGGAGGAGAAGAGCUUGUGCUGCAGGCUGCCGGGUACCACCGGGUACCUGCCCAGGCUUGCCCUACCAGGAGGAGCUCCUCUCGGCUUGGUGACUGGCUGAGGUCUUGAGUGUUUGCCAGACAACUGCUGGGUGCCGGCUCUGGGGGCACAAGAAAGAACAGGUGAAGCUCCCACCCCUCCGGAGACACAGAAAUCCAGACUUCAGGGACUUUAGGCCACAAACUGUUCCUCGGGUCUUUGGGUUCCAGAGGCCCGGAACUGACUGGCUGAAGGCUCUAGAGCCCUGCUGCUGCCUCUGGCUGCCUCGGGGCCUUUGCACACGCUCUGCUGGAGUCCGGACCAGCCUCCCCCUUAGAGCCUGCCUGUAUUUUUAAGUCCUGGCUUCAGUGUCACCUGAUCUGAGAACCCCUCGCACUCCCCAUCAACAGGGGUAGCCUCCUGUUAUUUCAUGGCACCCCAGCCCACUCUCUACCGCGUUUGGAGUUUGUGUGCGUCGUGACUGGUCCAGUGUUGUUUCUUCCCUCGCCUGCAUGCCCGGUGUCUGGCCUUCCACCCUGUUGAUCCCUGUUGUCUGGCUGGUUGCUUAGCUCAUUGCCUGUCACAUAGUAGCUGCAUGAUAAAUAUUUGCUGAAUAAAUAAAUGAAUCAGGCAAGUUGUUUAUACUAGAACUAGUAGGGACUCAGAAAGAGCUUGCCUCCCGGUAGGGCAUGGAUAAGCGCAGAAGACUAAACCUUCAUUCCAAAGCUCUAUGAAGAGGAAUGUUUAACUAGUCAAACAUCCAGUCUGUGGGGACCACCGCCCCAGACCAGGACCCACGGGAAGGGCACACUUGUGAUUGUGUUUCAGUGGAAAUAGUGGAGUCCACAGUACUUGUUCUCUCCCCCAACUCCCCGGCUGAGGCCGGUUAAUUGAAUGCAGUGUGGGGACGUGUUUGUAUGUAGCUAUACAAGUGUUAUGUGAGUCAACAGAAAGACAUUUCAAAUAAGAAGGCGAUCACAGAGGGUGGGGGUGUCUUCAGCCUUGUGGGGGCAGGAGGAGGAAAGCUGGCACGCAGCCGCAGUCACUUCUCCUGGGCACCAGGGAGUGUGCAGUAGAGGAGUGAGCGGCUUGUCCAGAUUCCAGCUUCACCACUUACCAGCCGAGCAGCUGAGUACCAACUGAGUGGGUAC